RNAcentral lists this ribosomal RNA (497 nucleotides) under uncultured bacterium. RNAcentral describes it as "bacterial SSU rRNA". It matches the Rfam family "Bacterial small subunit ribosomal RNA", at positions 21 to 507 of the family's 1533-position model. The record is from RNAcentral.
GGCUCAGGAUGAACGCUAGCUACAGGCUUAACACAUGCAAGUCGAGGGGCAGCAUUACGGUAGCUUGCUAUUGUAGAUGGCGACCGGCGCACGGGUGAGUAACGCGUAUCCAACCUGCCCACCACUUGGGGAUAACCUUGCGAAAGUAAGACUAAUACCCAAUGAUAUCCCACGAAGGCAUCCGAAUGGGAUUAAAGAUUCAUCGGUGAUGGAUGGGGAUGCGUCUGAUUAGCUUGUUGGCGGGGUAACGGCCCACCAAGGCUACGAUCAGUAGGGGUUCUGAGAGGAAGGUCCCCCACAUUGGAACUGAGACACGGUCCAAACUCCUACGGGAGGCAGCAGUGAGGAAUAUUGGUCAAUGGGCGAGAGCCUGAACCAGCCAAGUAGCGUGCAGGAUGACGGCCCUAUGGGUUGUAAACUGCUUUUAUAAGGGAAUAAAGUGAGUCUCGUGAGACUUUUUGCAUGUACCUUAUGAAUAAGGACCGGCUAAUUCCGUG